This is a regulatory RNA element of Paenibacillus sp. MY03, 110 nucleotides long. It matches the Rfam family "epsC RNA". NCBI's taxonomy places the organism in Bacteria, Bacillati, Bacillota, Bacilli, Caryophanales, Paenibacillaceae. The record is from Rfam.
AGGUAAUGUCUCCUGAACCUUUAUCACUGGAGGCACUCGACCAUGCUGUGGGAAAUAUGCCUUAGACGUUAAUCGUCGCUGGUGUGGUGUGAGGUGGGGUUAAAUGCCCU